CAUUCAAAUUUCUGCCCUAUCAACUUUCGACGGCUGGGUCUUGGCCAACCGUGGUGACAACGGGUAACGGAGGGUUAGGGCUCGACCCCGGAGAAGGAGCCUGAAAAANGGNUACUACAUCCAAGGAAGGCAGCAGGCGCGCAAAUUACCCAAUCCCGACACGGGGAGGUAGUGACAAUAAAUACUGAUACAGGGCUCUUUCGGGUCUUGUAAUUGGAAUGAGUACAAUUUAAAUCCCUUAACGAGGAACAAUUGGAGGGCAAGUCUGGUGCCAGCAGCCGCGGUAAUUCCAGCUCCAAUAGCGUAUAUUAAAGUUGUUGAGGUUAAAAAGCUCGUAGUUGAACCUUGGGCCUAGCCGGCCGGUCCCCCUCACCGCGUGCACUGG
RNAcentral lists this ribosomal RNA (385 nucleotides) under uncultured fungus. RNAcentral's name for it is "SSU rRNA". It matches the Rfam family "Eukaryotic small subunit ribosomal RNA", at positions 296 to 680 of the family's 1831-position model. Lineage: Eukaryota; Fungi. The record is from RNAcentral.